CUGAAACUGGGAUAGACUACCUGAACUGGGAUAGACUACCUGAAACUGGGAUAGACUACCUGAAACUGGGAUAGACUACCUGAAACUGGGAUAGACUACCUGAACUGGGACAAUAAGAAAUGCUUGUUUUACCAUGCAAAACGUAUUGCUACAGUGUGCCCUAAUGAAUGUCCCAGUAGUAGGCUACUGUAGUACAUCUCCAUAGACACUGUGAUCAAUAGCCUAGUCUUGCACUUAUGUUCAGCUUGGCAUAAACUGACACUGGCUUUUAAUGCUGGAUUCAUUCUGUUAUAUUUUACAAGAUCAUGGUCCUUGUGUGGCUCUGUUGGCAAGAGCGUGGUAGUAGACACACCGAAGUUGUCGGUUCAGUUCCUGCAGAGAUCAUAUACACAUGGUAAAAAAUGUCUGCUCUCAUUGUAAAGACUGGAGAAGAGGUGUCUGAUCUCACUGUAAAGACUGGAGAAGAAGUGUCUGAUCUCACUGUAAAGACUGGAGAAGAAGUGUCUGCUCUCACUGUAAAGACUGGAGAAGAAGUGUCUGAUCUCAUUGUAAAGACUGGAGAAGAAGUGUCUGCUCUCACUGUAAAGACUGGAGAAGAGGUGUCUGAUCUCACUGUAAAGACUGGAGAAGAAGUGUCUGGUCUCACUGUAAAGACUGGAGAAGAAGUGUCUGAUCUCACUGUAAAGACUGGAGAAGAGGUGUCUGCUCUCACUGUAAAGACUGGAGAAGAAGUGUCUGCUCUCACUGUAAAGACUGGAGAAGAGGUGUCUGCUCUCACUGUAAAGACUGGAGAAGAGGUGUCUGCUCUCACUGUAAAGACUGGAGAAGAAGUGUCUGAUCUCACUGUAAAGACUGGAGAAGAAGUGUCUGAUCUCAUUGUAAAGACUGGAGAAGAGGUGCUAUGUUAUGAUUAAAGACCAGCCAUCUUGUAAUCUCAGGCUUUUUAGGUCAAAUCACUGCAGUCCUCUUCAGUGGUGGAAAAAGUACUACAUUGUUAUACUCGAGGAAAAGUAAAGAUACCUUAAUAGAAAAUGACUCAAGUAAAAGUCACCCAGUAAAAUACUACAUUAGACUAAAGUCUAAAAGUAUUUGGUUUUAAAUAUACUUAAGUAUCAAAAGUAAAUGGAAAAGUGUUAACCAUUUCAAAUUCCUUAUAUUAAGCAAACCAGACAACACAAAACAUUUUUGGGGGGGAUGGAUAGCCAGGGGCCCACUCCGACACUCAGACAUCAUUUACAGAUAGCCAGGGGAACACUCCAACACUCAGACAUCAUUUACAAACGAAGCAUUUGUGUUUAGUGAGUCCGCCAGAUCAGAGGCAGUAAAGAGCAUCAGGGAUGUUCUCUGUUUAGUGAGUCCUCCAGAUCAGAGGCAGUAGGGAUGACCAGGGAUGUUCUCUGUUUAGUGAGUCCUCCAGAUCAGAGGCAGUAAAGAGCACCAGGGAUGUUCUCUGUUUAGUGAGUCCUCCAGAUCAGAGGCAGUAGGGAUGACCAGGGAUGUUCUCUGUUUAGUGAGUCCUCCAGAUCAGAGGCAGUAAAGAGCACCAGGGAUGUUCUCUGUUUAGUGAGUCCUCCAGAUCAGAGGCAGUAGGGAUGACCAGGGAUGUUCUCUGUUUAGUGAGUCCUCCAGAUCAGGGGCAGUAAAGAGCACCAGGGAUGUUCUCUUGACAAGUGUGAAUCGGACCAUUUUCCUGUCCUGCUAGUACUUUUGAGUGUCAGUGGAAAAUGUACAUUAUUUUCAUUUGCAAUGUCGUGAAGUAAAAAUUGCCAGAAAUAUAAAUCGUAAAGUAAAAAAUACAGAUACUACCAAAAAGUACUUUAAAGUAUUUUUUUCUACUGAAGUACUUUCCACCACUGGUCCUCUUGCAUAGACAGAAACAGACCCUCGGCUUUUGUAACGGAGACAAGAGAGAAGCUCACUCCACAGCUAGCUUAAAAACGGCACCAACGCUGCUAUCGAAUCGAAUCCUUGGCUAUAGGACUACCGGUUGGUACGUACCUCUGGUCCGAGAAAAGAGACGGUGGACAGUGGAAGAAGCGAAGCUGGUAGCGACCCACUGGUGUCAGUUUCACUGUGGAACAAUAAACACUUCUACGUACUGUAUGUUUACUCUGUUGUAGCGCAGAAAGGUUAAUGAAUUCAAUCUAUUGUUAAUGACAUUGCACUCGUGUAGUGUACAUUUUCUGUAUAAUUCUGCUCCGUCACUAUGAGUGAUUAUCACUGUGGCUAGGCAAUCAUUGAUUUCUGAUCGUCUAAUCAAUUUCAAUUCAAAAUCAAAUAAAAAAUGUUUAUUUUAAACUCUCCAGG
Molecule: long non-coding RNA, 2307 nt
Organism: Oncorhynchus tshawytscha (Chinook salmon)
Lineage: Eukaryota; Metazoa; Chordata; Actinopteri; Salmoniformes; Salmonidae
Source: Ensembl